Aedes aegypti (yellow fever mosquito) is the source of this 66-nucleotide non-coding RNA. The record is from Rfam. Lineage: Eukaryota; Metazoa; Arthropoda; Insecta; Diptera; Culicidae.
CUCAUGGCGUAGUGGUAACGCGCCCCAACUAGAGAUCGGGGAGUCGUGAGUUCGAUUCUCACUGAG